GACGAACGCUGGCGGCGUGCUUAACACAUGCAAGUCGAACGGAAAGGCCCUGCUUUUGUGGGGUGCUCGAGUGGCGAACGGGUGAGUAACACGUGAGUAACCUGCCCUUGACUUUGGGAUAACUUCAGGAAACUGGGGCUAAUACCGGAUAGGAGCUCCUGCUGCAUGGUGGGGGUUGGAAAGUUUCGGCGGUUGGGGAUGGACUCGCGGCUUAUCAGCUUGUUGGUGGGGUAGUGGCUUACCAAGGCUUUGACGGGUAGCCGGCCUGUGAGGGUGACCGGCCACAUUGGGACUGAGGUACGGCCCAGACUCCUACGGGAGGCAGCAGUGGGGAAUAUUGCACAAUGGGCGGAAGCCUGAGGCAGCAACGCCGCGUGCGGGAUGACGGCCUGCGGGUUGUAAACCGCUUUCGCCUGUGACGAAGCGUGAGUGACGGUAAUGGGUAAAGAAGCACCGGCUAACUACGUG
Molecule: ribosomal RNA, 468 nt
Filed under: uncultured bacterium
Lineage: Bacteria
Description: partial 16S ribosomal RNA
Rfam family: Bacterial small subunit ribosomal RNA
Source: RNAcentral